GCUUACGGCCAUACCAGCCUGGGUACGCCCGAUCUCGUCUGAUCUCGGAAGCGAAGCAGGGUCGGGCCUGGUUAGUACUUGGAUGGGAGACCCCCUGGGAAUACCAGGUGCUGUAAGCA
Molecule: ribosomal RNA, 119 nt
Filed under: Salmo salar (Atlantic salmon)
Lineage: Eukaryota; Metazoa; Chordata; Actinopteri; Salmoniformes; Salmonidae
Source: RNAcentral